UUAAAGUUUCACACAAAUA
Molecule: small nuclear RNA, 19 nt
Filed under: Arabidopsis thaliana (thale cress)
Lineage: Eukaryota; Viridiplantae; Streptophyta; Magnoliopsida; Brassicales; Brassicaceae
Description: snRNA_00246
Source: RNAcentral